CUCUUGAUGGACAUCUAGUGAAGAAAAUGAUCGAAAAUAUUACUACUGAGUUGACGUUGGGAUCUUUCAAAAUAUCCCUAUUUCUUCUUAGGUAUCAUCACGAAAUGCACACACGUCAUCAGUUUUGUUUCUGAGAAUGGGGAUUUUGGAGCAUGGAGACAUCUUGGUAUCUCCCGAAUGGCUGGGCAGCGAAAGCAGUUUAAGUCUGAACCUGAUGAGCGAGGGCACGGAGUGCAUCUUCAUCCCUGUGAAGCUGUUUUUGAAGGGGGCCCCUGCCAGGUCUCUGCACUCAGCCCUGCGGCUGGUAAACAGCUACCCUACAGAGAGCAUGAUUAGGGAAGGAUAUGCUGUUCAACAGGCUUGGAGCAUCUACAAAGCCAAACUUGUCAGGCACAGGCUACACCACGCUGCAAGGAGCCAAUCUGUGUCCGGCAAAUGAUCAACACUGUUACUGAAAUAAUCAGAUUUCUCAUUUUGAUUCCCGAGGUUGCCAAGCUUUUAAAGUGUAUGAGUUUCACGUGUGUUUUUUAAAGAAAAUCACUUCUUGACAUAAUAUUAAAAAAGAUCAUAUGGCCAAAACAUAGUAUUAACUUUUCGCUUCUUUCUCCUUUGUCUUUAUUUUUGUUCCUUUUUUAUAUGCUGAAUAUAGUCAUUUCUGGGUUACAGCUCCUUUUUUGCUGCUAAGAAAUGUGCACCUCUUUUUUGUAACUCUAAAUGAACCGCGGAGAAGUAAAACUGUAGAAUUAGGGAUACAGCUUUGCUACGCAUUACUCAAAUUAGAAUGAAGUAUAUUUCUCUGAUAUUGACUCCAGUAAUAUGGCAGUGCUUUGGAAUUAUGCAUGCUGCUUCAAUAGAGAGCCACCCUUCUGGUUUGUUUUGUUAUGACAAUAAACAACCACAGAACUGCUUGCACGUUUUCUCCUUUCUUUCUCGAGGGCAUACAGUCGAUUGUGUCGCCUCUGGAGUCAUACACCACAGCCCGCAGCAAGCGGAAGAGAUGA
Molecule: long non-coding RNA, 1001 nt
Filed under: Lepisosteus oculatus (spotted gar)
Lineage: Eukaryota; Metazoa; Chordata; Actinopteri; Semionotiformes; Lepisosteidae
Description: lncRNA (ENSLOCG00000023158.1)
Source: RNAcentral